GACGAACGCUGGCGGCGUGCUUAACACAUGCAAGUCGAACGGUGAUGCUCCAGCUUGCUGGAGUGGAUCAGUGGCGAACGGGUGAGUAACACGUGAGCAACCUGCCCCAGACUCUGGAAUAAGCGCUGGAAACGGCGUCUAAUACUGGAUACGAAACUGGCCCGCAUGGGCAUGGUUUGGAAAGUUUUUCGGUUUGGGAUGGGCUCGCGGCCUAUCAGCUUGUUGGUGAGGUAAUGGCUCACCAAGGCGACGACGGGUAGCCGGCCUGAGAGGGCGACCGGCCACACUGGGACUGAGACACGGCCCAGACUCCUACGGGAGGCAGCAGUGGGGAAUAUUGCACAAUGGGCGAAAGCCUGAUGCAGCGACGCCGCGUGAGGGAUGACGGCCUUCGGGUUGUAAACCACUUUCAGCAGGGAAGAAGCGAAAGUGACGGUACCUGCAGAAGAAGCACCGGCUAACUACGUG
This 468-nucleotide ribosomal RNA is filed under the name uncultured bacterium. RNAcentral describes it as "partial 16S ribosomal RNA". It matches the Rfam family "Bacterial small subunit ribosomal RNA", at positions 28 to 507 of the family's 1533-position model. The record is from RNAcentral.